Salvelinus fontinalis (brook trout) is the source of this 6069-nucleotide long non-coding RNA. RefSeq lists it as uncharacterized. Lineage: Eukaryota; Metazoa; Chordata; Actinopteri; Salmoniformes; Salmonidae. The record is from RefSeq and is a predicted model, not a curated record. The transcript is spliced from 2 exons.
CAAGCUCCAGUGUCUAUGUGUGUGUUUGUAUGCGUCUGUGUGUGUGAGAGGGAGAGAAACAGAGUGAGAGAGAAUGGAGGGAGAAAGAGGGAGGAGAGACAAAGAGUUAGAGUGUGUGUGGAAGAGAGAGAAAAAGAGAGAGGGGGAGAGAGAGAGAGAGAGAGAGAGAGAGAGAGAGAGAGAGAGAGAGAGAGAGAGAGAGAGAGAGAGAGAGAGAGAGAGAGAGAGAGAGAGAGAGAGAGAGAGAAAGAGAUUGGGGGAUUUGUAAGGCAUUUAUAUUUGCUAACUACUGGCUGAAUUUACAUUGGAACAGGUAGAAGAUCAGCUAGACAGCAUUUGUUAGCGUGUGUGAUUGUGUGAAUGUGUUUUAGUAUAUGUGUUUGUGUGUGUGGGACAGAGACAGAGAGAGAGAGAGAGAGAGAGAGAGAGAGAGAGAGAGAGGGAGGGAGGGAGGAAGAGAGGGAGGGAGGAGAACCCGUUCCCCUUAGUUCCACACGAAUCUCGUUCCUAGCAAUAGCCUGGGGACGAGGUUAGUUCCACACUAACGCUUCAAUGUGUGCACUUGAGGGAAGUUAUGGAAGCUUUUUUCCUUUCUUUUCCCACCUAAACAGUCUUCAACAUUCUGCAAUAAUAUUGACGAGACAAGAAGAGAACUGAAUAACUUUCCACUAUUAUUUAGGUGACUGGGAUGUGUGAGGAGGAGAGGUGUGUGAGGCGGAGAGGAGCGUGAGGAGGAGAGGAGUGUGAGGAUGGAAGUUGCUGGGGGAGAGAGGAGCGCUGCUCUGGGCUCAGUGAGAGGUGAGAGUCUUGUUCGCAGCAGCAGAAGAGGAAGAUGAUAAUAGAAUUCACCACAGCUGCAGGAACGACUAUUUCGGGAAACCUAACACCAUGACUCUCCACUCCUCUCCUGCUGGCACCCUAUCAACACCAGCAUGGGUGAUAACAAACUGGGCAUCCACAUUGUAAUGAGCAGCCUUCUUUAAAUCUGCUGGGCUGGGAACAGCAGCCUAUAUUAUGGGGUGUAGUGGUUGCUGAUCUAAGGACAUGAGAGUGACAACUAAAGGAUGACAACUUUCUGCUGGUGCCCUCGGUAAACAUUCAACGCUGUCGGUGAGUUUGAGCAUCUGUCCAAAACCAUCGACCGUUAAAUGUACCCUGUGGGCCACCGUUAAAGAGACACCCUGCAAGAAGAGAGAUGAAUACUUUCUCUAAUUCUUCCCUGCUCCCCUGGUGAACAGAAUCUUCAGUUACUUCCCAUACUGGACUAGUUAAGAGGCCCAACUCUUAAGGCUGCAAUAAACAUUCAUUGCUGUCGGUGGGUUUACAUGAGAACAACUCACUGAUCAAUGAAUGCAGACUGCGGUACAAACACCUCAAGGCCUUUAUUUCAGCAGAGAGUGAUGGAAUAGAGCGGAUGACAUGUAUCGUGCCUUCAAAAAGUACUACCCCUUGAUUUACUCCAUAUUUUGUUGUGUUACAGCCCGAAAUCAAAAUGUAUUAAAUUAUUUUUUAUUCUCAUCCAUUUACACACAAUACCCCAUAAUGACAAAGUGAAAACAUAUUUUUAGAAAUGUUUGCACAUUUAUUGAACAUGAAAUUCAGAAAUAUCUUUGGCAGCAAUUACAGCUGUGAGUCUUUGUGGGUAAGUCUCUAAGAGCUUUCCACACCUGGAUUGUGCAACAUCUGCCCAUUUUCAAAAUUCUUCAAGCUCUGUCAAAUUGGUUGUUGAUCAUUGCUAGACACCCAUUUUCAGGUCUUGCCAUAGAUUUUAAAGAAGAUUUAAGUCAAAACUGUAACUCAGACACUAAGGAGAAUUCACUGUCUUCUUGGUAAGCAACUCCAGAGUAGAUUUAGCCUUGUGUUUUAGGUUAUUGUCCUGCUGAAAGGUGAAUUCAUCUCCCAGUGGCUGGUGGAAAGCAGACUGAACCAGGUUUUCUUCUAGGAUUUUGGCUGUGCUUAGCUUUUAAUGAACAAUUACAAGCCACCACUAUGCUUGAAAAUAUGGAGAGUUGUACUCAGUAAUGUGUGGUAUUGGAUUUGCCACAAACAUAAAAUGUUGUAUUCAGGACAAAAAGUAAAUUGCUUUGCCACAUAUUUUUGCAGUAUUACUUCAGUGCCUUGUUGCAAACAGGAUGCAUGAUUUGGAAUAAUUUUUAUUCUGUACAGGCUUCCUUCUUUUCACUCUGUCAAUUAGGUUAGUAUUGUGGAGUAACUACAUUGUUGUUGAUCCAUCUUCAGUUUUCUACUAUCACAGCCAUUAAACUCUGUAACUGUUUUCAAGUCACCAUUUAUAGAAUAACUAUGUUCAAAGUAAUGAGUCGGGACAUCGGUUAUAAGAUGAACGCUUAUUUUUAGUAAUAAUACUUGUUCACAUUGCAUUUUACCACUUUAGAUUCUACAAAAUAAUAAAAUAAAGUUUGCUAGCAAAAGCCAGGAUAAUCCCUUCUCACAUAACUGGAGCGUUCUCGUUCGUUUGUUCUUACUUCCUGUCGCAAGGCAUUCUGGUACUUGCAGUCAAUAGCGUAAUCCAAUACUAACCAAUACAACAGAAAUAUGUGCAUUGUUCUCUCAAUCUCCAUCACAUGAAUUAUAAUACAAUUACUAUUGUACACAUGUAAAUAACUAUAAAAGAAAAUAUAUUUAGAUACAUCAGUGAAAUUACUUUAAACAUUAACUCUGUAACCCGUUAAAGUUAAUACACGACUGAGGGACCUUAAAGAUAAUUGUGUGUUGGGCACAGAGAUGAGGUAGUCAUUCAAAAAUAAUGUUAACCACUAUUAUUGCACACAGAGUGAGAUCAUGCAACUUAUUUUAUGACUUGUUAAGCACAUUUUUCUUGUUCUUGUUUGGUGGGGGAGCUCAUUAAAAUAAUAGCCAGUGUUUAGAAUAAUACAAAGGAGGAUAUGGUAUAUUUCUACCGUUGUGUACCUAUUUAGGGUACACCACCAUGAAGAGAAUGACAUUCAUAUCCAUAAUUAUGCAUUUUUGUGUAGUACAGAUCAGGGACCCAUGAUGAAAUUCCGUUACCGCAAUGCUGUUACUGGGUGUAAAUCCACUUCACUUACUGUAGUUCAAUAACAAAACAAGUGUUUUCAAACUCAAGGUGUCAUGUCAUCGCUGACUUCCCAUUCUUUCUGCAGACAUCUUUAAAACUGAGUUUAACAUAAAAAACUGAGGGAGAUUUUACUGGAAUUCUGUUACCAACCUUUUUAUCUGCACAAUUCUUCCAGUAAGGGCUGACCCCAUUUAGUCGACUGGUCGAUUGUUUGGUCGAUAGGUUGUUGGUCAACCGAGAUUUCUUUAGUCAAGCAGUGGGGGAAAAAAUAUAGUAAUCAUGGUGUAUAAGACACGUCUGAGUGGACUGAUCCAUUGUGGAGGCCGUGGGGAUGGCACAGUCCAUCACUCUAAGACAUGUGCUACUGAAAUUGUAUAUGGUUAUAUUACAUAAGAAGGAAUGGUGCAACACUAAUAAAAAAAUAUAUAUUUCAUAGCAAAUGCACUUUCUCCCGCAUUGGAUAGCGGUCGAUGUCCUCGGUUCUGAAACAUCAGUGCGCUGUCGAAUUGGCGCCUUUUCCUAGACCGUGUUGCUAUGUGCAUAAUAGCAAAGUUACCCAGCAUAUGUGUGUUGAGAACAAUGCAGUGGAGGCAGCAGAGGAGUUAGGAGAUAAGAAAACAGCCCUUGCCUUAAUUGUCUAAGAAAAGUGAGGAGAGAGGAAAAUCCAACUUAAUUAGGUCUAUGAAUCAACAUCCUAACUGUUAAGUGACUAUUACAAAUCCAGUCUUGUUCCUUAUAUUUCUGCCUUAAAUACACUGCCUUCUUCUCUCAUCAUUAACAUAUUAUUGUUAUUGUUGCAUUCCAGGAUGUAUGCAAUAGGCAUGCCCCUUUUAAAAAAUUCAGGAUUAAAGGCAGAGAGAACCCUUGGUUUACUAAGGAACUUACAAAAAUCAUAAGGGAACGAAAUGCUAUGUGGGCUAAAGCAAGAGGGACUGGUUUGGAUGGCUUUUUUAACAUCUUCGAAAUAUGGGUGUGGCUAUGAUCCGUAAAUUGAAAGCAGACCACUACCUGAAAUCUACUUCACAAAAUGUAAAUAAUCCAUCCAAAUUUUGGCAAGUAGUGAAGGGUUUGUAGUGCAAAAAAGAUACACAGCUUCCCAAACAAUUGUUGGUCGAUACACAGAUUGUAACUGAGAGAACCGCCAUUCUGAAAGCCUUGAAUACGCAUUUUUUUAGAUGCAGGCAGUUUAUUUGAAAAGGUCAAAGGUAUAAUUGAGCCCCCUAUGAAUUUACCUGACACCCCUGUGCACUACGUCACCAGGUUCUCCUUUUCAUCCUUCUCUGUUUCAGAAGUGUGUAAAGCCCUGAAAGAAAUUGAUUUUUAAAAAUCCCCUGGUAGGCUGGUCCUGAUGAACUAGACCCCGCCUAAAGGUCUACUUCCAAGAAAACAACAUCUUAAAUUGAAUACAAUCAGGUUUUAGGUCUGGCCACAGCACUGUUUCAGCAACAUUGAAGGUUUUAAAUGACAUCCACUGUGCUCUUGAUAAGAAGUUACAUUGUGUGUCUGUUUUUAUUGAUUUGUCAAAGGAUUUUGACACCGUGGACCAUGCUGUGUUAGUGCAAAGGUUGAAAUGUUGUGGAAUUACUGGUCAUGCUCUAGAUUGGUUUAUAAAUUACCUAUCAAAUCGUACACAAUGUGUAAUGGCGGAUGGUUGUAAAUCUGAGUCCAUAGACGUGUGCUCAGGUGUUCCGCAAGGUUCUAUUUUGGGCCCACUGUUGUUCAUUUUGUAUAUCAACAACAUUGGGGAUCUUGUUGAAACAGCGGAUGUUCAUUUUUAUGCAGAUGAUACUGUUCUUUAUUCAAGUGGUAGUAGUUUAUCUUUAGCUUUUGAAAAUGCCCAAAGAGCAUUUAACAUCAUACAACAGAAUCUGUAUGAUUUAAAGCUGAUUCUACAUUCGGGUAAAACAAAAUGCAUGGUAUUUUCAAAUGCCAGGCAUGUUACAAAUCAUGUUAUUUGCAACAUUGGCUGGACAUACUAUAGAGCAAGUUAAAGUGUACAAAUAUUUAGGUGUGUGGGUUGAUGAUAAGCUGAGCUUCACUGUGCAUGUAGAGAACUUGAUAAGGAAGCUCAAGCUGAAAAUAGGAUUUUAUUACCGGCAUAAGGCUUGUUUUUCUUUUGAGGCCAGGAAGGAGCUGGUACGAUGUACAUUACUGUCGGUUUAAGAUUUUAGUGAUGUUAUACAUAUGCAGGCCUCAGCCACUACCCUGAGAGCACUUGAUUCAGUGUAUCAUGCAGUCCUCAGGUUCAUUUCAAAUCAGAAACUUCUAACACAUCAUUGUGAUCUCUACAGCGCUGUUGGCUGGUCGUCAUUGACCUUGCGUAGGCUUGAACACUGGUAUACACUGAUUUAUAAGGCCAUAUUGGGUAAAAUGCCAUUUUAUCUCUGUUCUUUUUUCGUCAGGUCAGUAAAUAAAUAUAAUUUUACGGUCCCAUUCUGAUUUGCUUCUAACAUUACCAAAAAUUAGAACAGGACAUGGUAGAAAUAGUUUUAGUUACUUAGCUCCGUGGUCCUGGAAUUCUGUCAUGAACAUUUUAAAAUGUGAUGAUCUAGUUUCGUUGGUGGAGUUUAAACACUUGAUCGAUGUAUAUAUCAUAGAAGAGUGUAAUUGUUUUUAGGCCAGCUGUUUUUAGUCAAGACGUUUGUGUUUUUAAUGUAAAAUGUUUUUCUUGUACUGUAUGUGUGUUUAUAGUUUUGUUAAAUGUUGUGUUAGUAAGUGUGUUAGUUAGGUAAGUUGUUUUGUCUGAAACGUUGUUCCCUCUGCUGCUAUUGGACCAGGUCUCUCUUGGAAAAGAGAUGUUAUCUCAAUGAGAAAAAACCUGUAUAAAUAAAGGUAAAAUAAAUAAGAUAAAAAAUAAUAAAUGUGCCUGGAUAUAUAGCCUACUUUAAUAGCCUACUGAUUCCAUGAGCACCAAGCCUCACGCAACCACAAUAUGUCGGAUAAACGAUUUCACAAAUUUGUCUGUUUAUAAUCUUUGCUAUGAUGUAAUAAAGGCUUAAAAAUUGUCAUUAGAA